RNAcentral lists this unclassified non-coding RNA (348 nucleotides) under soil metagenome. RNAcentral describes it as "partial contains 5.8S ribosomal RNA, internal transcribed spacer 2, and large subunit ribosomal RNA". The stretch from base 1 to 120 matches the Rfam family "5.8S ribosomal RNA", at positions 35 to 154 of the family's 154-position model. The record is from RNAcentral.
GAUGAAGAACGCAGCAGAAUGCGAUAAGUAAUGUGAAUUGCAGAAUUCAGUGAAUCAUCGAAUCUUUGAACGCACAUUGCGCCCGCUGGUAUUCCGGCGGGCAUGCCUGUUCGAGCGUCAUUUCAACCCUCAAGCCCCCGGGUUUGGUGUUGGGGAUCGGCUCUGCCCUUCUGGGCGGUGCCGCCCCCGAAAUACAUUGGCGGUCUCGCUGCAGCCUCCAUUGCGUAGUAGCUAACACCUCGCAACUGGAACGCGGCGCGGCCAUGCCGUAAAACCCCAACUUCUGAAUGUUGACCUCGGAUCAGGUAGGAAUACCCGCUGAACUUAAGCAUAUCAAUAAGCGGAGGA